CAAAACAAAUACACAAAAAUAAAUGCAUUAAAAGCUUAAAUAUGCCACAAGAACAAACGUUCCACACUUGCUAAUAUAUGCAUACUAAUCAUUUAACUCAUAUUAAAAAUGCUACAAGAAACGCUUGACUCUUGCUAAUAUAUGCAAGAUCAAACGCUUGAAUUUUGAUAAAAACCAGCCGUAUAAGCAUGGUUAAACCAGAAGUAAACCAAAAUUAGAUCAUACAAGUCACACUUUUGUUUCAAAAUAAUUUUAAAAAUCAAAACGAAAGUGCAACACGACGGUUUCAACACGUCAAUAGAAAAAUCUAAUCAAAUUGUUUUUUUUUCAGACAAUCUGUAACUAAUGAUCAACGCUUGAUGAUAAAGAAGAUUCACAGAAAAGCAAUAGCUAAGAUUAUUAUAAAAGAUCCCUGCACAUAAUCGAUCUGAAAAGAUCAUAACAAUUGCUUGUAUUUUCCAUCACCAUGAAUUCUCGAAUUCAUGUUUUUAUGAUAAAACAAGAUCCGAUUCCGGCUUCUUUAACCUGUUCUUAAAAAUAAAAACUUUUAACAAAUAUCAGUAUUGUUAGUGUAAAAGCAUAAACAAUAUUUAAAGAUUUAAGAGUGUAAGAAUCUUAUUUUACUACCAUAGGACAACUGAUAUUUGUAAAGAAUAAUAAGAACAUAAAUCAAAAUUACAAUACCGAAAUAUAAGAAUAAAGAAGAAUUACAGAGUUGAGAUAGUUAAUCUCUUUCCUUAAAUCUUUAAACGCCCCGUAUUGUGACGGUUUUAUAGCGCUAAGAUUCCCAUGAUACAACUGCAGCAUUGUUUCGGUUUACCAUCACCGAAAAACAGAAUCUAUCAACCAUAAUUUUGUGUUGUACUCUCAGACUCAAAAUAAAAAAAAUAAACAUAACUAUUCAUAAUGGGAGAAUUGUUUUUUCUUUGUUGUUGUAUUCAAGGUU
Molecule: long non-coding RNA, 946 nt
Filed under: Brassica napus (rape)
Lineage: Eukaryota; Viridiplantae; Streptophyta; Magnoliopsida; Brassicales; Brassicaceae
Description: long non-coding RNA (BNAP_LNC014050)
Source: RNAcentral